GGAGUCGGGGAAAACCUCGGGAAACUGAGGCUAAUACCUGAUGUGGCGCCGCGGCACAUGCCGGGAGCGGCCAAAGGGGGCCGCAAGGCUCCCGCUCCGACGAGGGGCUCGCGCACCAUCAGCUUGGUUGGCGGGGUAACGGCCCACCAAGGCUCACGGUUAGCUGGUCUGAGAGGACUGGCCAGCCGCACUGGGACUGAGAUACUGCCCAGACUCCUACGGGAGGCUGCAGUCGAGGAUCAUUCGCAAUGGGGGAAACCCUGACGAUGCGACGCUGCCGUGGAGGACGACGGCCUUCGGGUUGUAAACUCCUGUCAUGGGGGAAAAGGCGAGGGGACCCAACACGUCCCUUAGUUGAUGGUACCCCAAGAGGAAGCGACGGCUAACUCUGUGCCAGCAGCAGC
Molecule: ribosomal RNA, 404 nt
Filed under: uncultured bacterium
Lineage: Bacteria
Description: bacterial SSU rRNA
Rfam family: Bacterial small subunit ribosomal RNA
Source: RNAcentral